RNAcentral lists this long non-coding RNA (5522 nucleotides) under Lactuca sativa (garden lettuce). RNAcentral describes it as "long non-coding RNA (LSAT_LNC006643)". Lineage: Eukaryota; Viridiplantae; Streptophyta; Magnoliopsida; Asterales; Asteraceae. The record is from RNAcentral.
GGGGACCAGAAAUACCCACGAUGGCAGUACCAGGUUGGUGGGACAGCAGGGGUAAUUUGGGUAAUAAGACAGAUCCUCUGUUAUGGAGUCUUUUUAAGGAAGAGUCCCUCUCAGUGAGAGGCAGGCAGAAUAUUAGAAGUUUCUUUUUCUUUUGGGAGACCAUAUCAUCUCGAAUAGCUAUUCUUAUUGUUAAAUUCCUCAUUUCGCGUUGUUCUUGUUAUGAACUGGAAUACCAUUUAGAGGCUGCCAUUGUUUCAUUAAUAGAUUGAUAAUUUGUGUGUUGAGUUCAUAACAAAUUGGUAUCAGAGCAAUCAUCUGGGAUCAUGGCCGGAGGAAAAGAAGUGGGAGGAGCCCAACUCAAGAGGGUUGAAUCCUUAGAGGCAGAGUUAGGGCAUUUGAACGACAGAAUGGAGAAUCAAGGACACCAGAUCCAACAGGCUGACUCUAUCGCUUCAAUACAGAUGAAGAUGGACCAGAAGUUUGAAGAGGUAUUAAGGGCCCUCGGUAGAGGAAAGAAGUCGAAAGAAGGAGAAUCGUUCGACGAACCUGUUAUCUCCAUGAUGGAAACCCCGAAGGAUAACAGUGGAGGAUCCAAACCAACGGGGAGCGGUGGUUCAGGUACGGGUGGAAGCAGCGACGGUGGAGGCCGGUCACAAGGAGGCGAGUACGAUGGAGGAACCAAUUGGAGGUUCAGGAAACUGGAUAUGCCCUUUUUUGACGGUGAAAAUCCGGACAGCUGGAUCUUGAGGGCUGAACGAUACUUCAACUUUUACAGACUAUCAGAGGCGGAUAAGCUGGAGGCAGCGGUGGUAGCCCUUGAAGGCGAUGCCCUUCUGCGGUAUCAGUGGGAACACACUCAUCGACCGGUGACGCGAUGGAUGGAGAUGAAAUCGCUGUUAUUGAGGCAGUUUCGACCGACUAAUGCAGGUACGUUACAGCAACAAUGGCUCGCCCUAACUCAGACCGGGUCAGUUUUAGAGUACCAGCGAGCAUUUAUUGAACGACUUGCCCCGCUAAGCAACAUACCCGAAGACAUCACUUUGGGCCAAUUCCUCAAUGGGCUAAAUGAAGAAAUUAGGUCGGAGGUCCAGUUAUUGAGCCCCAUGUCCGUUGAACAAGCCAUGACGAUGGCUAUCAAGGCCGAACAGAAGCUUCAAUCCUAACUAAAACGCAAACCACAUCCCUCUCCUGUCACAUAGCGAACGAACACCACUGGAAGCAUAUCAGGAACACCCUUGAUUACUCCCAUUAAAACUACCAUCUACUCCUCCAAGAGCAUAGCGUCACCUCCAAUCUAUACCCCAGCGAGCCAGGUGGUGAACAAUCAAGUAUCAGGGGAAGUAAGAAGGUUGACAGAUAAGGAACUACAACACAAAAAAGAGAAGGGGUUGUGUUAUCGAUGUGAUGAUAAAUGGAACCCGGGCCAUCAAUGCAAAAAGAAGGAGUUGAGUGUCUUGCUCAUGCAGGAAGAAGAGAGAGAGGAAACGGACCCUCAAUCGGAAGAGAUAGAAACUCCUCCCCAAGAAAUCACAACCUUAUCAGGCAUCUGCCUCAAUUCAGUGAUGGGGCUAACAAACCCAAAAUCUCUCAAACUCAAAGGAACCAUAGCAGAAUCAGAAGUGGUGGUCCUUAUUGAUCCAGGGGCAACUCAUAAUUUUCUCUCUCUGCAAACCAUUAACCAGCUCCACAUACCGGUCAUACCAACCGCUGAGUUUGGAGUUUCCUUGGGGACAGGGAAGGCAGUUUCAGGAACAGGAAAGUGCCAAGGGAUUCUUCUACAGGUGCAGGGCUUAGAUAUCACGGAGGAUUUCCUUCCUCUCACUCUUGGCAAUUCCGAUGUUAUCUUAGGAAUUCAAUGGCUAGAGAAGUUGGGAGCGGUUACUACUAAUUGGAAGACUCAAAUAAUGAAGUUUCAGGUGAAUGGGCAGUGGGUCACCUUACGGGGGGAUCCUUCCUUGGAACGAGCUAGAAUUUCCUUGAAAACCAUGGUGAGAACUCUUGGGGCAGUUGGGGGAGGAUACUUGGUCCAAUACAGCCACCUGGAGAUGCAGGCCCCGACUCUAGACGUACCACCAACUCCACCGUAUCUAUCCCAUUUGGUCUGGAAUUUCGCUAAGGUGUUUAAUUGGAAGGGUGGUCUUCCACCACCACGGAACCAACAACAUGCUAUCCAAUUGAAGGCCGGUGUCGGACCGGUUUCAGUAAGGCCCUACAGGUAUUCUUACGCCCAAAAGACGGAGAUUGAAAGGCUGUUACGUGAUAUGCUCCAAUCGGGAAUCAUACAACCUUCCCGUAGUCCCUUCUCGAGCCCGGUUUUGUUAGUAAAAAAAAAGAUGGGUCUUGGAGAUUUUGUGUGGAUUAUAGAAGUCUUAACAAGAUCACCGUUAAAGACAAGUUUCCAAUCCCAGUUAUAGACGAGCUUUUGGAUGAAUUACACGGGUCGAGAAUCUUUUCAAAACUGGAUUUAAAAUCCGGGUACCACCAAAUUCGGAUGAAGGAAGAAGAUGUGCCAAAAACCGCUUUUAGGACCCACGAAGGUCAUUAUGAGUUUACUGUCAUGCCGUUCGGCUUGACGAAUGCCCCAGCCACGUUCCAAUCUGUCAUGAAUGAGAUCUUCAAGCCCUUCCUUCGGCGGUUCGUAUUAGUCUUCUUUGAUGACAUUCUAAUUUAUAGUCAAACGGAAGAACAACACGUCAGGCAUUUGGAAAUAGUGUUGGAGAUUCUUAUCAAACAUGAAUUGUAUGCCAAUCCAAGCAAAUGUGAAUUGGGUAAAUGUAGGAUUGCCUAUCUGGGUCAUGUGGUGUCGGAAUAGGGUGUGGCGGUAGAUGAUGAAAAAAUUAAGGUUGUGGUGGCCUGGCCUCUUCCGACAACUGUUAAGGAGUUGAGAGGAUUUUUAGGACUCACGGGGUAUUACAGGAAGUUUAUAGCUGGCUACGCGAGAAUUGCAACACCAAUGACCGACCAGCUGAGUAAGGACUAUUUUAGUUGGAUUAAGGAGGCCACAGAGGCUUUUAUGGCUCUGAAAUAUGCUCUCACAAAUACGCCCAUCCUCGCACUACCUAACUUUUCUAAGGUUUUUAGUGUGGAAACGGAUGCAUCUGGAACUGGCCUUGGGGCCGUCUUAACACAAGAUGGACAUCCCAUUGCCUACUACAGCCAAGUCCUUGGAGUGAGGAACCGACUCAAGUCCAUUUAUGAGAAAGAACUAAUGGCUAUAGUCCUAGCGGUAAGGAAAUGGAGACACUAUUUGAUGGGAAGACACUUCAUCAUCAAAACUGAUCAACGAAGUCUGAAGUUUCUAAUGGAGCAAAGGGAGGUUGGCCCGGAAUACCAGAAAUGGAUGUACAAGCUGAUGGGGUUUGAUUUUGAAAUUCACUACAAGCCGGGUCCCACGAAUAAGGUAGCGGACGCUCUCUCACGAAGGAGUGAUUCUAACCCAGAAUUACAGGUGCUCUAUUCAACAUGGUCCUUACCCUUGGAGAAGCUUAAUGAAGAAAUCGGGGAUGAUCCAUUCAUUCAACAAGUGAAGAUAGACAUCACUGAAGGUAACAAGAGCCAUGUCGGGUAUUCAGUGGAGAACAAUAGACUUUUAUACAAGGGUAGGUUGGUAAUUCCCCACAAUUCCACAUUGAUACCGAGCCUGUUACACGAAUUCCAUGAUUCUGUGAUCGGGGGACACGCGGGUGAGCUGAGAACAUAUCAAAGGCUGGCCUUCGAAUGGUUCUGGGUAGGAAUGAGAAAAGCGGUUCAAAAGUAUGUGCGGGAAUGUCAAAUUUGUCAAACACAGAAAUCAUUAAACACCCACCCAGCUGGACUUCUACAACCUCUUCCAGUCCCAGAUCAAGUAUGGGAUAACAUUUCUAUGGACUUCAUAGAAGGGCUUCCGAAUUCGAAGGGGUACAAUUCCAUUCUCGUGGUGGUGGACCGACUCAGCAAAUAUUCACACUUCAUAGCCUUGAAACACCCGUUCACUGCGGUUUCGGUGGCAGCCAUAUUCAUCAAGGAAGUUGUGAGGCUUCAUGGGUUUCCCAAGUCCAUUGUUUCUGACCGGGACAAGGUUUUUAUGAGUCUGUUUUGGCCCGAAUUAUUUAAACUGCAGGGCACCAACUUGCUCAGGAGCACCGCCUACCACCCGCAAACAGAUGGCCAAUCGGAGAUAGUUAACAAAUCAGUGGAACUCUACCUUCGUUGCUUCAUUCAAGGGAAGCCCCGGUCUUGUUCGAAAUGGUUACAUUGGGCGGAGUUUUGGCAUAAUACAGCUUAUCACAUGUCCGGAAAGAUCACUCCCUUUAAGGCUUUAUAUGGUCGAGAUCCACCCGAAAUACUUAGGAUGCAAAAAGGACAGACAGUUGUAUCCUCUGUAGAAGAACAACUUCUGGAAAGAGAUGCAAUCCUUGAUGAUCUUAAGGGACAUCUCACACAAGCUCAACAGAAAAUGAAAAGGUUGGCGGAUAGAAAUCGCAAGGACGUGUCAUUCAAUGAAGGGGAGUGGGUGUUCCUGAAACUACAACCGUACCGACAACGAUCGAUGGCUCACAGACCAUUCCAGAAGUUAGCAGCUCGAUACUAUGGACCUUAUUUGAUCAUCAAAAAGAUUGGGUCGGUCGCUUAUCAGCUCCAGUUACCUGAGUCUGCCAAAAUUCACCCGGUGUUCCACGUCUCGCAACUAAGGAGAGCCAUUGGAGAUGUAGUGGCAAGGUCCACCUUACCAGCUCAUCUAUCGGAGGAAAUGAUACUCAAUUGGGAACCAGAAACGGUUAUAGGGGUGAGGAACCAAGUGGAAGACUAUGGGCCCAGAAUGGAGGUAUUGAUCAAGUGGAAAGACGUUCCGGAAUUCGAAUCAACCUGGGAGGAUUUCAUGACAAUCCAACAAACAUUUCCGGAAUUUGACCUUGAGGACAAGGUCAACCUUUGGGGAAGGAGUAAUGUAGUGCACCCCCCAUUGCAGUUCACCUAUCAGAGAAGGAGACACAAAAAGAUUCCCACGUCUGUGGGGACCAGAAAUACCCACGAUGGCAGUACCAGGUUGGUGGGACAGCAGGGGUAAUUUGGGUAAUAAGACAGAUCCUCUGUUAUGGAGUCUUUUUAAGGAAGAGUCCCUCUCAGUGAGAGGCAGGCAGAAUAUUAGAAGUUUCUUUUUCUUUUGGGAGACCAUAGCAUCUCGAAUAGCUAUUCUUAUUGUUAAAUUCCUCAUUUCGCGUUGUUCUUGUUAUGAACUGGAAUACCAUUUAGAGGCUGCCAUUGUUUCAUUAAUAGAUUGAUAAUUUGUGUGUUGAGUUCAUAACAGACAUGUGGUAAAAGUAUUUUCAUUUAUUAUAGUAGAUAAUAAAAUAAUGUGUUUCUUAUCAUUUUACAAUUUUAUUUAACUUAUUAAUAUAAUAUAUAAAACAAUAAUAAUAAAAAAAUUAACUAAUUAAUAAAUAAUUUCAAAAAAAAUUAUCAAAAAGAAAAUUCAUAUUUAGACAACUCUAAAUAUAUACGUUUAAGUUUUGAUACAACAAAACUGUAUUAUCAUAAAUAUU